AAAUUGCAUAGAUGAGUUAGUUGCAACGCUUUUUUGUAUUGAGUUAUUUGUAUUACAAUAAUCAUCAAUUUAUACUUAACUAAUCUAAAUUUUACUUCGAGGUAAUUUUUGACAACUUCAUAUAUAAUGUAAAAAACUGAUGACAUCUGUUCUAUUUUUACAUUCUCUCCAGUGAUUGAUAGUGUUGCCUACUUUGUCAAAUCAAAACAAGGCAACAUUUUCCUAAAAAGUGAUCUGUGCUCCACCUAUCCUAUUCAUAUGCACAGAAGACUUUCAGGGCAGAAAACUAUUCUGCAUGAUACUAUACUGGUAUAUGAAUUUGCCUAAACUCAUAGAAUGUAUGACAGCAAGCGUGGACCCUAAUAUAACUAUGGACCUUGGUGAUAAGGAUGUGCCAGUGCAGGUUCAUCAGCGGGAUACCAUCAACUCUACAUAGUUGUCUAAGCCAAGACCUCCUGCUAGGACUGAUUAAAGCCUGUGCAUCCUCAUUAUCCAGAGCCUGUGUUGCUCCUCUAGAGCUAUAGUCAGGCUAACCAUUCCUUCUGGUUAAUAUCUGAAAGGAAGAAUCAUGCAGCAAGAAGAGAACUGUGAGGGAAUAAAAAUGGCACAAACCCAGCCUGGAUUUCUCUCUCCCCUUUUAAUGAUGAAUGAAUGAAAAAAAUUCAUCAUUAGCUGUAGUUAGUUUCUAUUACAUAAAAAGGAAGCUGAUGAAAUAUAUAACUGAGUUAUAUACCCA
This 736-nucleotide long non-coding RNA is filed under the name Homo sapiens (human). RNAcentral describes it as "HSALNT0380341". The record is from RNAcentral. Lineage: Eukaryota; Metazoa; Chordata; Mammalia; Primates; Hominidae.